GAUGAACGCUGGCGGCGUGCCUAAUACAUGCAAGUCGAGCGAACAGACGAGGAGCUUGCUCCUCUGACGUUAGCGGCGGACGGGUGAGUAACACGUGGAUAACCUACCUAUAAGACUGGGAUAACUUCGGGAAACCGGAGCUAAUACCGGAUAAUAUAUUGAACCGCAUGGUUCAAUAGUGAAAGACGGUUUUGCUGUCCCUUAUAGAUGGAUCCGCGCCGCAUUAGCUAGUUGGUAAGGUAACGGCUUACCAAGGCAACGAUGCGUAGCCGACCUGAGAGGGUGAUCGGCCGCACUGGAACUGAGACACGGUCCAGACUCCUACGGGAGGCAGCAGUAGGGAAUCUUCCGCAAUGGGCGAAAGCCUGACGGAGCAACGCCGCGUGAGUGAUGAAGGUCUUCGGAUCGUAAAACUCUGUUAUUAGGGAAGAACAAAUGUGUAAGUAACUAUGCACGUCUUGACGGUACCUAAUCAGAAAGCCACGGCUAACUACGUG
This 497-nucleotide ribosomal RNA is filed under the name uncultured bacterium. Its description in RNAcentral is "partial 16S ribosomal RNA". It matches the Rfam family "Bacterial small subunit ribosomal RNA", at positions 28 to 507 of the family's 1533-position model. The record is from RNAcentral.